GUUUACUGUCAACAUGUUGCACUGUCAACAUGUUCACUGUCAACAUGUUCACUGUCAACAUGUUCACUAUAAACAUGUUGCACUGUCAACAUGUUGCACUAUAAACAUGUUCACUGUCAACAUGUUGCACUAUAAACAUGUUCACUGUCAACAUGUUCACUGUCAACAUGUUGCACUAUAAACAUGUUGCACUGUCAACAUGUUCACUGUCAACAUGUUCACUAUAAACAUGUUGCACUGUCAACAUGUUGCACUAUAAACAUGUUCACUGUCAACAUGUUGCACUGUCAACAUGUUGCACUGUCAACAUGUUCACUGUCAACAUGUUGCACUGUCAACAUGUUGCACUGUCAACAUGUUGCACUAUAAACAUGUUGCACUUAACAAAUCUACAAUAACCAGGGUGUUGAUGAUGAGUUUGCUGUUGAUCUUCAGAAAAGUAAACGUGGAAAUAGUAAUCCAACAGGUUUAUCUGAAUAUUUAAUCCAUAUAUGAUUUAACAAGGUCUUUACAAUGUUUCUUUUAUUGGUCGAUAAAUCAGAGCAGAUUGUUUUGUUUACAGCUGAAGAGUCUACACGUGUGUUUGAUUCCGGCAUGAAGAAAUAUUCUUUCUGAUUUUCUGUUUGUUUCGAUUUUGAACUUUCAGUCUGAAUAAAUUUCUGUAAAGAAUCAA
Molecule: long non-coding RNA, 673 nt
Organism: Sander lucioperca (pikeperch)
Lineage: Eukaryota; Metazoa; Chordata; Actinopteri; Perciformes; Percidae
Exons: 2
Source: RefSeq, a predicted model, not a curated record